GAUCACGUAGGGUUUUAAUCGUUGAACAAACGAACCUUUAGUAGCGGCUGCACCACUGGGAUACCCUGAUCCAACAUCGAGGUCGUAAACCCAUCUGUCGAUAAGAGCUCUUGAGAUGGAUUGCGCUGUUAUCCCUAGGGUAACUUGGUUCAUUGAUCAAAAUAUUGGGUCAAUAAUGUCAGUUUUUUGAUGCGUAGAAUUGUAUUUCUUUGCUUAGAAUUAUGGUUCUAAUUCAUUGUGGAGGUUAAGUUUUACUCCGUGGUCACCCCAACCGAAAACUUGCAGUCAUGUUAUUAAGGUUUAUUUUAUAGUCUUGAGAUGUGUUAAUAGAAAAUAAUUGCUGGGAAGUUUUAAGCUCCAUAGGGUCUUCUCGUCUUAUAGUUUUAUUCCCGCUUCUUCACGGGAAGAUUAGUUUCACUGAUUUAGAAAAGGAGACAGUAUAACCCUCGUGAUGCCAUUCAUACUAGUCCUCAUUUAAAGAACAAGUGAUUACSCUACCUUCGCACGGUUAGAAUACCGCGGCCGUUAAACAGAGUCACUGGGCAGGC
This 548-nucleotide ribosomal RNA is filed under the name Phyllomedusa bicolor (two-colored leaf frog). RNAcentral's name for it is "partial 16S ribosomal RNA". Lineage: Eukaryota; Metazoa; Chordata; Amphibia; Anura; Hylidae. The record is from RNAcentral.